Molecule: unclassified non-coding RNA, 310 nt
Filed under: plant metagenome
Description: partial contains 5.8S ribosomal RNA, internal transcribed spacer 2, and large subunit ribosomal RNA
Rfam family: 5.8S ribosomal RNA (bases 1-105)
Source: RNAcentral
GAAAUGCGAUAAGAAGUGUGAAUUGCAGAAUUCAGUGAAUCAUCGAAUCUUUGAACGCACAUUGCGCCCCUUGGUAUUCCAUGGGGCAUGCCUGUUCGAGCGUCAUUUGUACCCUCAAGCUCUGCUUGGUGUUGGGUGUUUGUCCCCGUCUCCGCGCGUGGACUCGCCCCAAAGUGAUUGGCAGCCGGCGUACUGGUCCCGGAGCGCAGCACAUGUCGCGCAAACGAGUGCCUUGGUACGGCGGCGUCCAUAAGCCCCUCUCUCACGCUCUUGACCUCGGAUCAGGUAGGGAUACCCGCUGAACUUAAGC